AGUACGCUGGCGGUAGGCCUAACACAUGCAAGUCGAACGGCAGCACAGUAAGAGCUUGCUCUUACGGGUGGCGAGUGGCGGACGGGUGAGGAAUACAUCGGAAUCUACUUUUUCGUGGGGGAUAACGUAGGGAAACUUACGCUAAUACCGCAUACGACCUACGGGUGAAAGCAGGGGAUCUUCGGACCUUGCGCGAUUGAAUGAGCCGAUGUCGGAUUAGCUAGUUGGCGGGGUAAAGGCCCACCAAGGCGACGAUCCGUAGCUGGUCUGAGAGGAUGAUCAGCCACACUGGAACUGAGACACGGUCCAGACUCCUACGGGAGGCAGCAGUGGGGAAUAUUGGACAAUGGGCGCAAGCCUGAUCCAGCCAUACCGCGUGGGUGAAGAAGGCCUUCGGGUUGUAAAGCCCUUUUGUUGGGAAAGAAAAGCAGCAGGUUAAUACCCCGCUGUUCUGACGGUACCCAAAGAAUAAGCACCGGCUAACUUCGUG
This 490-nucleotide ribosomal RNA is filed under the name uncultured bacterium. Its description in RNAcentral is "partial 16S ribosomal RNA". It matches the Rfam family "Bacterial small subunit ribosomal RNA", at positions 31 to 507 of the family's 1533-position model. The record is from RNAcentral.